CCUACGGGCGGCAGCAGUGGGGGAUAUUGCACAAUGGGGGGAACCCUGAUGCAGCGACGCCGCGUGGGUGAUGGAGCGCUUCGGCGCGUAAAGCCCUAUCGGCAGGGAAGAAGAUGACGGUACGUGACCAAGAAGCCCCGGCUAACUACGUGCCAGCAGCCGCGGCAAUACGCAGGGGGCAAGCGUGAUACGGAUUUACUGGGUGUAAAGGGGGCGCAGACGGGAAGGCAAGCCAGGAGUGAAAGCCCGGGGCCCAACCCCAGGACUGCACUUGGAACUGCAUGGCUGGAGUACAGGAGGGGCAGGCGGAAUUCGUGGUGUAGCGGUGAAAUGCGUAGAUAUUAGGAGGAACGCCGAUGGCGAAGGCAGCCUACUGGACUGUGACUGACGUUGAGGCCCGAAGGCGUGGGGAGCAAACAGGAUUAGAUACCCUAGUAGUC
RNAcentral lists this ribosomal RNA (440 nucleotides) under uncultured bacterium. Its description in RNAcentral is "partial 16S ribosomal RNA". It matches the Rfam family "Bacterial small subunit ribosomal RNA", at positions 338 to 795 of the family's 1533-position model. The record is from RNAcentral.